UAGGGAAUCUUCGGCAAUGGACGAAAGUCUGACCGAGCAACGCCGCGUGAGUGAAGAAGGUUUUCGGAUCGUAAAACUCUGUUGUUAGAGAAGAACAAGGACGUUAGUAACUGAACGUCCCCUGACGGUAUCUAACCAGAAAGCCACGGCUAACUACGUGCCAGCAGCCGCGGUAAUACGUAGGUGGCAAGCGUUGUCCGGAUUUAUUGGGCGUAAAGCGAGCGCAGGCGGUUUCUUAAGUCUGAUGUGAAAGCCCCCGGCUCAACCGGGGAGGGUCAUUGGAAACUGGGAGACUUGAGUGCAGAAGAGGAGAGUGGAAUUCCAUGUGUAGCGGUGAAAUGCGUAGAUAUAUGGAGGAACACCAGUGGCGAAGACGGCUCACUGGUCUGUAACUGACGCUGAGGCUCGAAAGCGUGGGGAGCAAACAGG
RNAcentral lists this ribosomal RNA (429 nucleotides) under Gemmatimonadota bacterium. RNAcentral describes it as "Gemmatimonadetes bacterium partial 16S ribosomal RNA". It matches the Rfam family "Bacterial small subunit ribosomal RNA", at positions 355 to 776 of the family's 1533-position model. Lineage: Bacteria; Pseudomonadati; Gemmatimonadota. The record is from RNAcentral.